Molecule: long non-coding RNA, 692 nt
Filed under: Homo sapiens (human)
Lineage: Eukaryota; Metazoa; Chordata; Mammalia; Primates; Hominidae
Description: PAPOLA divergent transcript (PAPOLA-DT)
Source: RNAcentral
CGCCGCGAAGCCUCACGGGAAGCGGAGUUCCUAAGGCCGCCUGCGGCCCGGCAAUUACCCCCUGGGUCCUCUCACACUUAGCAGUGGGUGUCAGAUGGUGGAAGGGAACGCUCAGGGAGGCCCCGGGCGGUGAGUUGUCCCUCGGGCGGGGACGCCCUCGUGGGCAGUGCGGCGUGGACGGCGCAAGGAAGAACCCGGAGAGAUCCCAAGCCACGAGGCACCGCUUCCGGCGCAUUGUGAGGUCCCACCUUUCCCGCCGCCUGAGGUCGCGGCGGCUGCUCUUUCCCGGAGCAGCGUCCCUGGAGGCGCUGCCAGGGGGUGAGGCACCCACGCGUGCACCGUAUGUACCCCCCAGCGCGGCGCUUAGAACGACUCGCAUGAGUCGCUGCCUUGGGUUGGAACCGGUUACUCCGCCGCUUCGUACUGGACUGCAAAGUAACAAGUACUUCGCCGGGCAGCGGUGCCGACCCCGUGUGCUACGGCGAGAGGUGCUUAGCCUAGAGCCGACGAAAACAUGUCCCCAGGACUCCCUUUCCCUCCCAGACUGCGUCCCACCAGAUGGAGCUUUCCGUCUGUUUUAACCACCAGUGUAUUCCUGAUGCCUGACCCAGGCGCUGAAAUAUUUGUUGAACGAAUAAAUGUGUAGGUUAGGACUGACGACAGUCCGCGAAUUCUGGAAAAAAAAAAAAAAA